Molecule: long non-coding RNA, 621 nt
Filed under: Manacus vitellinus (golden-collared manakin)
Lineage: Eukaryota; Metazoa; Chordata; Aves; Passeriformes; Pipridae
Description: lncRNA (ENSMVIG00005018873.1)
Source: RNAcentral
ACUCAUUUAAAUAAUGCCACUUAUAUUACAGAAUCAUGAUUUUCCUGGUGCAGUAAUACAUACAAUUACUUUAUAUUUCGGCCCAUUCCGUUGAUUUUCAAAAUUAUUGAUUAAUCUAACUGGCAGGUUUCACACAGCUCCUAACAAAGGGCUAUUCAGGCAAUUGAGUCAGUAAAUGGUACUCCCUUGUUUUAAUUGUGGUUAUCUAUACUUAUUGUUGUGUAGCUGGGAAGAUUUUUUGGACAAGAUAUCAUGGAAAAGGGAUGCUUUUGUUUAGUCUUUUUCGACAGAUACAUGACCGAGGCAGCUUUGAAGCCUUUCUGGAAAAUCCUCCUUCCUUCUGUAGAAUGUUUAAUCUUCCUGUGGAGUGUCGAACUAUGAGACUUACUCUGCAGAAUUCCAUUCUUGUGCCAUACAGACGAGUAAGAACUACUCAGGUAAAUGAGGAACUGAUUCGGGCCGCUGACGUUAAUGAGAAUUAUGCUUUUCUGAGCUCUGGAACAAGCUUUAAGGCAAGAUGUAUGGAUAGAUAGAUAGAGAGAGAGAGACAGACAGACAGACAGACAGAUAGAUAGAUAGGUGACAAAUAAAUAGAUAAAGCCCCUCUGUCCUUUCUUAUUU